RNAcentral lists this small RNA (87 nucleotides) under human gut metagenome. RNAcentral's name for it is "GA-cis RNA". It matches the Rfam family "GA-cis RNA". The record is from RNAcentral.
AGAGGAGAACCCCGUCACGAACGACGUGAGUGAUUUAGGAUGAGUUCGACGAACUGCCGCCGAGCGAAUGCGAGGGGGCGAUACCUU